UUAAGAUCGGGUUGCAGUUUA
RNAcentral lists this non-coding RNA (21 nucleotides) under Arabidopsis thaliana (thale cress). Lineage: Eukaryota; Viridiplantae; Streptophyta; Magnoliopsida; Brassicales; Brassicaceae. The record is from RNAcentral.